Gorilla gorilla gorilla (western lowland gorilla) is the source of this 6518-nucleotide long non-coding RNA. RefSeq lists it as uncharacterized. The record is from RefSeq and is a predicted model, not a curated record. The transcript has 5 exons. Lineage: Eukaryota; Metazoa; Chordata; Mammalia; Primates; Hominidae.
UUAAUUUGAUAAACUUAUUUUUGAUGUCAUCUUAAAUGGAACAUUCUGAGUUUUUAUUUUAGAUUGUUAAUUGCUAGCAUAUAGAAAUUCAGAGGAUUUUAUAUAUUGACCUUAUAUACUGCAAGUUUGUUGAACUCAUUUCUAAAUUCUAAACAUACUUGAUUAGAGUACUUUGGAAAUUUUAUACAUAAGAUCAGGUCAUAUGCCAACAGACAUAGUUUGACUUCCUUUCCAUACUGGAAGCCUUAUAUUUAUUUUUCUAGACUACUUGCCAUGUCUGUAUCCUCCAGUACAAUGUUGAAAACAAGUGUCAAGAGUGGAAAUCCUUGUCUUGUUUCUAAUCUUGGAGAAGUUAGUGAACCUUUCAGAUAACCUAUGAUGACAUGUUAGUUUUUCAUGGAUCCUCUUUAAAAGGAAGACAGUUCCCUUAUCUGCCUCAUUUGCUGCAUAUUUUUCUCAUAGAGAAUUUGAGAAUUUUCAAGUGCCUAUGCGUCUUCUGAGCUGAUGAUGUGGUUUUUUUCUUUAUUAUGUGAAUAUAGUGCAUAGCACUAGUGGUAUUGUAUGUUGAACCAAAUUUUGCUUUUCUGAGGUAAAUACCCUUGACAUAGUGUAUAAUACUUUUUACAUGUUUCUGGUUUGUUUUACUAAUAUUUCCUUGAUGAUUUUUGCCCCUGUAUACAUAAGGUAUAUUGCUCUUCAUUUUCCAUAUUUGAAAUGUCUUUGUCUAGUUGUGGUAUCAGAGUAAACUAAAUCAGUAUACAAUGGGAAAUCAUGCCUUCUCCACUUUAUGGGAAUAAUUUGUAAUAAAUUAGUAUUAAUUGUUUAAGUGAUUCCAAUAAUUCACUAAUGAAUUCUUGAUGAGGUCAGAGAGGUUAAUCCUAAGAACAGUUACAUGAGCUUGGAAGGAGACCUUUCCCCAGCUGAGCCUUAGCCUGGGCCAUCACCUACAUCUGGACUGAAGAACCAGAGAAACUGUGAGUAAUAUGUGUGUGGUUUUGAACCACUAAGAUGUGUGGGAAUUUGUUAUGCACCAAGUCUUCAGUAAUAUACCUGACAGUAAUUGCAAUGUGGUAUUCUAGAUUAGUCUUGGAACAGAUGAAUAUAUCAUUAUUAGAAAUUCUGGUAAAAUAUGAAGGAAGUCUGUAGAUCAAUUAAUAGUUUUGAAACAUAGUGAAAUUCUUAGUUUUCAUGAAUAUACUAUGGUUAUAAUAGUAACAUUUUAGUUAGCUGAAGGGUAUAUGAAACUGUCUGUUCUACCUGUGUAUCUUUUUGUAAAUCUGAAAUUAUUUCAAAAUAAAUUUGUUUGCUAAAAUUAUUAUAUUUUUUAAAAGAAAACAAAGGCAUAAAAAAAACUGGCUUCCAGAGAUGAAUGGGCACAUAGGGAGAGAAUAGCAAAGUAGCACUCUUUUUAUCUAGUCACCUUUCCAAACCCAGGUGCACCUGCUUCAAGAGGGCUCCAUGAAGCUCCAGGGACUGUCAUCCUUUUUCUCCUUCUCCAUUACCCAGUAAGCAGUUGGAGUGUCAGCAACCACUUAUUUAGAAAAAGUUGCCUUUCCUUCACAUAUGCCAGAAAGCCCCAUGUGUAGACAUCAUUUAGCAGUGUAUAUUCAGGAUCCCACUGAAGCAUUUUUGGGAGAUAUGACUCUCAGAUAUUAGAAGCCAGGGAUAAGAAAUUUCAGUGACAGGGAACAUAAAUCAUAUUUCUGCAUUCAGGAUAAUGUUUUCUUGGUACAGGCAUUUCUUCUUCAAGUAAUCAAAAGACAACCGUACCUUCAAACCUUUCAGAAAAAUAUGUUCUAAUUUAGUUCUUUUGAUUCUACAGACUCCAUCAGGAAUCGUCUGGGACCGUGCAUUCUGUUGACACUCACAUUGUGGAAUCAUGUUGCCCCCUGCCAACCCUGAAGCCACCAAGGUAGCAGGUUUCAAAUAAUUCAUCAGUGAAGUCUUCUCAACCUGGUCAAUCAUGUGAACUUAGAAUAUGAUUCCUCCCCAGCUGAUCCUUCAGAUCCUUUGGCAUUUGAGAGUUGCUUUGUGUAUACGGCCCUUUAACGGAGCAAAUGGCCAGCCAGGAAACCAAAGUAUGGACAAGGGGAAAGAAGCAUCUGUGGAGGAAGUUUUACAAGCGACCCUCCUCAUCCAUGUGGGUGGCGUUGCCCAUAUGCUACAUGUCUGUGGGCCACUAUGUGUGUUUAAAGCUUUUUAGUAAAACGUUACUAAAAAGUAUGACUCACUGUGGUGAAAAAGGUGGCAAAACAGUGACAACAACUUGUCAUUGCUACAGCAACACGGAGAUGCAUUGACACCCUUCUUCAAUCCAGAGGAUGGGCCAUCAACUCACAAAAGUACAAGGCCUGGAACCAGCUGCAGAGUUCCUGUGGAUCACUUGGCCAGAUUCCCUGAGUGUCGGCCGGUCUGAGAAAUAAAGGAACAGACUACAAAAGAGAUAAAUUUUAAAGCUGGGUGUCCGGGGGAGACAUCACAUGUCAGCAGGUUCCAUGAUGCCCCGCAAGCGGUAAAACCAGCAAGUUUUUAUUAGUGAUUUUCAAAAGGGGAGGGAGUGUACGAAUAGGGUGUGGGUCACAGAGAUCACGUGCUUCACAAGGUAAUAGAAUAUCACAAGGCAAAUGGAGGCAGGGCGAAAUCACAGGACUGUGGCAAAAUUAAAAUUGCUAAUGAAGUUUCGUGCAUGCAUUGUCAUUGAUAACAUCUUAUCAGGAGACAGGGUUUGAGAGCAGACAACCAGUCUGUCCAAAAUUUAUUAGACGGGAAUUUCCUCGUCUUAAUAAGCCUAGGAGCACUAUGGGAGACUAGGGCUUAUUUCAUUCCUACAGCUUUGACCAUAAAAGAUGGCUGCCCCUGAAGCGGCCAUUUUAGAGGCCUACACUCAGGAUCCCAUUCUCUUUCUCAGGGAUGUUCCUUGCUGAGAAAAAGAAUUCAGUGAUAUUUCUCCCAUUUGCUUUUGAAAGAAGAGAAAUAUGGCUCUGUUCCGCCCGGCUCACUGGCGGUCAGAGUUUAAUGUUAUCUCUCUUGUUCCCUGAACAUUGCUGUUAUCCUGUUCUUUUUUCAAGGUGCCCAGAUUUUAUAUUGUUCAAACACACAUGCUCUACAAACACUUUGUGCAGUUAAUGCAAUCAUCACAGGGUCCUGAGGCGACACACAUCCUGCUCAGCUUACGAAGAUGAUGGGAUUAAGAGAUUAAAGUAAAGACAGGCGUAGGAAAUCACAAGGGUGUUGAUUGGGGAAGUGAUAAGUGUCCAUGAAAUCUUCACCAUUUAUGUUCAGAGAUUGCAGUGAAGACAGGAGUAAGAAAUUAUAAAAGUCUGAAUUUGGGGAACUAGUAAAUGUCCAUGAAAUCUUCACAAUCCACGUUCUUCUGCCAUGGCUUCAGCCGGUCCCUCGGUUCGGGGUCUCUGACUUCCCACAACAUCUCUCCUUCUCACUUAGUAUAUAUACACACACACGGUACAUGAUAUGUUUUGGUACAGGCAUGUAAUGUGAAAUAAGCACACAUCAUGGAGAAUUGGACAACUAUCUCUAUGAGCAAUUAUCCUUUGAGUUACAAACAAUUUAAUUAUACUUUUUAAGUUUUAUAAAAAUAUACAAUUAUUAUUGACUUUCAUAGUUACCCUGUUAUGCUAUCAAACAGUUUGUUUUAUUCAUUCUUUCUAUUUGUUUUGUAACCAUUAAACAUCCCUACCUUCCCCCAGCCCCCUGCUACCAUUUCCAGCCUCUGUUAACCAUCCUUCUACUCUCUAUGUCCAUGAGUUCAACUGUUUUGAUUUUUAGAACCCACAAAUAAGUGACAACAUGUGAUAUUUGUCUUUCUGUGCCUGGUUUAUUUCACUGAAGACAGUGAUCUCCAGUUUUAUCCCUGUUGUUGCAAAUGACUGGGUCUCUUUAUUUUUUAUGGCUUAAUAGUACUCCACUGUUUAUAUGCACCAUAUGUUCUUUAUCCAGUCAUCUGUUGAUGGACACUUAGAUUACUUCCAAAUCUUAGCUGUUGUAAACAAUGCUGCAACAAGCAUAGGAGUGCAGAUAUCUCGUUGAUAUACUGAUUUCCUUUCUUUGGGGUAUAUAUCCAGCAGCCUACUGCUGGGUAUAUUUGGUAGCUUGAUUUUGGUUUUCUGAGGAACCUCCAAACUGUUCUCCAUAGUGCUUGUGCUAAUUUACAUUCCCACCAACUGUAUACAAGGGUUGCUUUUCUCCACAUUCUCACCAGCAUUUGUUAUUACCUGUCUUUUGGAUAAAAGCUAUUUUACCUGGGGUGAGAUGAUAUCUCAUUGUAGUUUUGAUUGGCAUUUCUCUGAUGAUUAAUGAUUUUGAGCACCUUUCCAUAUGCUUGUUUGCCAUUUGUAUGUCUUUUCAGAAAUACUUAUUCCAAUAUUUUGUCCUUUUUUGGUUGGAUUAUUUGACUUUUUUCCUAUAGGGUUGUUUGAGCUGCCUAUAUAUUCUAGUUAUUAAUCCAUCAGAUGGGUAGUUUGCAAAUAUUUUUUCCCAUUCUGUGGAUUGUCGCUUCACUUUGUCGAUUAUAUCCUAUGCUGUGCAGGAGCUUUUAACUUGAUAUGAUCUCAUUUGCCCAUUUUUGCAUUGGUUGCCUAUGCUUGUGGGAUAUUGCUCAAGAAAUUUUCUCCUAGACCAACAUACUGGAGAGUUUCCUUAAUGUUUUCUUAUAGUAGUUUCAUAGUUGGAGGUCUUCAAUUUAAGUCUUUAAUCCAUUUUGAUUUGAUUUUUUUGCAUACAGUGAGGGACAGAGUUCUAGUUUCAUUCUUCUGCAUAUGGAUAACCAGUUUUCCCAGCACCAUUUAUUUAAGAGACUGGCUUUUUCCCCAGUGUACCUUCUUGGCAACUUUGUUGAAAAUGACAUAACUGUAGGGUUGUGGAUUUGUUCCUUGGUUUUCUAUUCUGUUCCAUAGGUCUAUAUGGGUAUUUUUAUUCCAAUACCUUGCUGUUUCAUUUACUAUAGCUCUCUAGUAUAAUUGGAAGUCAGGUAAUGUAAUUCCUCUAGUUUUGUUCUUUCUGCUUAGGAUAGCUAUGGCUAUUCUGGGUCUUUUGUUGUUCCAUAUCCUUAGCACAAUUUUGAUUACUAUUGCUUUUGUAGUAUGGUUUGAAAUCAGAAAGUAGCAUUUUACUACACAAACUUCAUUCUUUUUCAAAAUUAUUUUGUCUGUUCUGGAAAUCUAUUGCAUUAUAUAUGAAUUUUAGAGUAAAAUUGUCAAUUAGGGGAGAAAAUGUCACCUAGGAUUUAGCUAGGAAUUGCAUUAGAUAUAUUUGGAAAGUACCAGCAAGCUAAUGAUACUAAGCUUUCUAAUCAGUGAAAGCUCAAUGUAGUUAAUUUAUAAUAGUAUUAGUUUGUUUGAUAUGUUUUGUAGUCCUCAGUAUAUGUAUCUUAUACUUAUUUUAUUAAAUUAAUUCAUAGGUAUUUAACUUUUAUGCCAUUUUAAAUGAAAUGGUUUUCAAAAUUUUGUUUUUAGAUUGUCAAUUGCUAAUAAAUAAAAAUACAGUUGAUUUUGUAUAUUGACCUGUACUAAGCUGUACUACAAGCUUGCUUAUCCCUUUUUUCAUAUUUUGUUAUGUUUUAUUAGAGAUUUUAUGAUGUCUGUAGGCAGGAUCAUGUCAUUUGGAGACAUAAUUUGACUUUCCUUCCAAUCUGACUUUUUUAUAUUUAUUUUCUACACCAAUUACCUUGUUCAUAUCCUCCAAUACAGUGUUGAAUAAAACUGUGAAAGUGAUAGCCUUCUCUUGUUUCUAAUUUUACAAGAAAGUGUUUGAGCUUCUCAGAAGAUUUAGGAUGUCACGUGAGGUUUUCUGUGCUUUCAUGAUAAGGAAACUUUUCUUAUUUGCCUAACUUGUUGCAUGUUUUUAUAAUGAAUGAAAUUUCAAUUUAGCAGGUGCUUAUUGCUCAUCUUUUAAGAUGACCAUGUGUAUUGUGUCCCUUAUCUCUUAAUAUAGUUUAUGGCACUAAUUCUUUUUGUAUGUUGAACCAAAUUUGCAUUCGUAAGAUGUAUACCUUCGUCAAAAUUUAUAAAUUUUUACAUGUCUGUUAUUUGUUUUGAUAGUAUUUCCUUUAAUUUUUGUGUUUAUGUUCAUAAGUCAUAUUGAUCAUAGUUUUUCUUCAGUAACUUUGUCUAGCUGUGGUAGAAGGUUGAUAAUUCACAUUGGAAAGUGAUCUAUUCUUCAUGUUGCUCUUACUGUUUUUUAUGUGAAAGGUCUAAAUUGAUCUAGCACAAAUAGAAUUGAACACAUGAAAAGGAGAAAAAAUGUACAUUUUUUCAAGAUAAUUUUCAGACUUUGCAAACAAUUAUAUUGUAUAAGUGAAUAAAACCAAAUCAGAGUAGUAAAGAGAUGUAAUUGGGCUACAUAGAUGGAGAUUUAGAAAACACUAGAAAGGGAGAGAGAAAGGUGGGUGAUAAAUUACUCUUUUUAAUAUGAUCUCAUUGUUUUGCAUAUUUCUUUUUUUAAAUACAUUACUUACAAGUAUAGACAAAGAUGAAAAUAUAGGUUGACAAACAGGUGCUCAU